CGCAAUGGGCGAAAGCCUGACGGAGCGACGCCGCGUGAUUGAUGAAGUCCUUCGGGACGUAAAGAUUUUUUUUGCGUGAGAAAGUAAUUGAUAGUAGCGCACGAAUAAGGGGCUCCUAACUCUGUGCCAGCAGGAGCGGUAAUACAGAGGCCCCGAGCAUUAUCCGGAAUCACUGGGGGUAAAGGGUGUGUAGGCGGCUUUGUUAGUCUUUUGUGAAAGAUCCCCGGCUUAACCGGGGAGACGCAGGGGAAACGGCAUCGCUUAGAGGGUAUGAGAGGUUAAGGGAACUCAUAGUGUAGGGGUGAAAUCCGUUGAUAUUAUGGGGAACACCAAAUGCGAAGGCAGUUAACUGGCAUACUCCUGACGCUGAAACACGAAAGCGU
RNAcentral lists this ribosomal RNA (383 nucleotides) under uncultured bacterium. RNAcentral's name for it is "bacterial SSU rRNA". It matches the Rfam family "Bacterial small subunit ribosomal RNA", at positions 367 to 762 of the family's 1533-position model. The record is from RNAcentral.